Molecule: long non-coding RNA, 804 nt
Filed under: Rhinopithecus bieti (black snub-nosed monkey)
Lineage: Eukaryota; Metazoa; Chordata; Mammalia; Primates; Cercopithecidae
Description: lncRNA (ENSRBIG00000046357.1)
Source: RNAcentral
UUCUGGUAGGGACAGAGGGUGGCAGAAUUCAGUGUGCUGCAGAGAUGAGUAGUAACGUGAGAGGGAGAGAGCGAUAGAAUCUUACAAGAGGUUAAUCAGCUGCCUGAAAUGUGCAGUGAGUUCUCAGUCAGGUGUAAUGCCUGUGCAGGAGGUCAAGCAGGGAGCCUAGAACGAGUUCAGCAGAAGCAACAACAAAUGUGGCGUGGCAUCUACUGCCCUAAGACAAGCGGGGCUAUGCCUUUGCAACUGGGUCAAGGAUAAGGCUGCAGUAAGGGCUUUUGAUGGUUCCCCAUGAAGUGCAAUUAAAACUCCACGGACUUGUCUAGAUUGCUAUGCAAAAAUAGACAAAAUGGCUUCCGGUAGUUUCAGGAUUCCUAGGGCCUGGGGCUGUUGAAGAGCCUUAUUAUAGUUACAGAAGAUCUGUUCACAUCUGAACUGUGGUUCUGCAAUCAUCUUGCUGGGUGGAGCCCACUUUUGUGCAGCCACGCCCAAUGCCUUAGUGGGGUCCACCUGAAUAACCCAAACCAUCCCACCAGGCGCCUUUCGGCCCUGGAAAGAUGGUGGCCUGGGUGAUUCACCACUCCUUCCUCACGUCCUUGAUUUUGUCUGAACUGAGUUCGAUAUGCUCCUCCCACCCUUUUCCUCUUGGAAGCCAAACCCCUUUGUAAUCUAUAUAAGGUCCACACCCCAGGAGCUGAGUGACUGCAGAAACUGGCCUUCCAUCUCUCUCAGACACCAAGCUGCAGAUCCAGUUAGGCUUUUCCGAGAAAGUGAGGCCACCAUGGCUCUGGAUAAGUCUGUCAU